This is a non-coding RNA of Parambassis ranga (Indian glassy fish), 131 nucleotides long. The record is from Ensembl. NCBI's taxonomy places the organism in Eukaryota, Metazoa, Chordata, Actinopteri, Ambassidae.
CGGGAGGCAGAUACCUGGGUAGUGCCAACUGGUGCUCUGUCUAACACUAGUCCUCCCUACAGCAGCCAUGCUCUCCGAUGACCGUGGCGAGUUGAGAGAAAUCGCCACGGACAGAUACGGAGCAAACACUC